This is a non-coding RNA of Callithrix jacchus (white-tufted-ear marmoset), 4003 nucleotides long. The record is from RefSeq and is a predicted model, not a curated record. Lineage: Eukaryota; Metazoa; Chordata; Mammalia; Primates; Cebidae.
CUUUCACUUAGGGGAGAGAAUAGGAAAUGUCCCGAUCAGCCUGUGAGAGGGCCACAAAGACCACACCGCACCCUGCCUGAGCCGUUUCUCUCAUGGACCAAACCGAACCGCCACUGCUAUGAUCACGGUUAGGACUGAUGGGGCCGUCUACUUUCCAUCGGAGCUCCACUGAGACCACUAGCAGCACGUGGAAAAAUUCACCCACUGAGAUGGCACAGGUCCCUGAAACACUGGACCUGCAGAUCCCUGCUUCCUGUAAGAUCAUUGAAGAGGGGGACGCACCUGCUUUUCCAGCUCCUCGACAUCUGCAGUUGAGAUGUCCUCCACAUAGUUGGAUGGGAAGUACUGCUGGAUCCUGGUUCCAUAGUCACCUUUCCACCUGGAUAAGAAGAGGGGACAUGGGGGAGCUGUCACCAGGUGGCAUGAAUUACCCAAUACUGUUCAUUAGCUCCCAGCUGCUGGCUCAAUUCUGAUGGGGACAGGUAGCAAGUGGCCGAGUGACCAGUGUCACUAUCUGACAACGCAGCAACUCCCUGGCAGCUUCUUUUUAUUUUUUUAAUUACCAAUGAGUUACAGGGGGCUGAUUUUCCUCCUCAUCACAUGAUCUUAAUGUUUGACCAAAGAUACCACAAGUCAAAAGUUUCAGUGCUUUAAGUGGAAGUCAGAGACCAUACGAGACAAAAGCUCAACCCCAUUUCAGGGAAUAAUUUUGAGAAAAGGUGGCUCUAGAGCCAGGUAGCCUGAGGUUAAAUUCUAACCCUACCACGGACUGUGGAGGCUUUCUGUGCCUCCGACUCUCCACAAAAUGGUCAAACACAAGUACUUCCCUCAGAAGCUUUUGUUAGGUCUCUCUAAAUUAACAUAAGCUGAGUGCUUGGGACAGCAGCUACCUAGCACACAGUAAGUACUCAAUAGUGUUAGCUGUUAUUAUUAUUCAGCUAAAACACUGUUCCCUAUCUUUAUAACAGCACUAACAACACUUGACAUAAUCCAUCUGUGAAUGUCCCCGGAGCCUACCAGAAGGUGAGCACCUCUAAGAUUCCUCCACGCAAGUCCAUGCCCAGACACGCAAACCUCCUUCUUCGACCUGCGCAUCUCAAGAGCCACUUUGCAGCCACAGACUCUCCAAAAUGCACCUCUGACCACACCACGUGAUGGCUCCCCAAGACCUCUAGAAUCCAGCCCAGACUCUUCAGCAUGGCAACCACAGCCCAGCACAGUCUGACCCCAGGACUCCCAGACCUCACCUCUUAACUCUCCAUGACAUUGAUUCCAGAUGACCCAUUGUCCCCAUCAUGCCCCUUCCAUGUUAGCUAGCUUCCAUGUCUUAGUCCACACCCUUGGUAGCCAGCUUCCCUCUACUAAUUUAAGACUCAGUUUGGGCAUUUCCUCUUCCAGGAAGUCUUCCCUGACUGCCACCUAGGUUGAGCACUCUUCCUCUGUGGUCCCCUGGCAUCCUGUCCCCACAGUCAUCCAACAGCCACACCUUAUACUUAUUGUGUAAUUAUACAUCUGUCUUCCCCACUAUAUGAGAUCUUUCUGGAUUUUUAUUUUUCUUUUUAGACCGAGUCUCAUUCUAUCCCCCAGGCUGGAGUGCAUGGUGUGAUCUUGGCUCACUGCAACCUCCACCUCCUGGGUUCAAGCAAUUCUCCUGCCUCAGCCUCCAGUAGCUGGGAUUACAGGCAUGCAUCACCACGUCUGGCUAACAUUUGUGUUUUUGGUAGAGACAGGGUUUCACCAUGUUGGCAAGGUUGGUCUCAAACUCCUGACCUCAAGUGAUCCGCCUGCAUUGGCCUCCCAAGGUACUGGGGUUACAGGUGGGAGCCACCACACCUGGCUGACCUUUCUGGACCUUAAUCAAGUCUGUGCUUCAUGGUGGUAAGAAGAAAUUUAAUAUUUUUGGUUUGAAUAAGCAGAGUGAGGACUCAUGCUACCAGUUCACAUAGCAGAGACACAGGACUGCAGGUUGUAAGCCCUUUUCAUGCCUUCCACACCAUUACUCUAGAUCCACUUCUGGCAAAGGCUGUCUAUAUUGAGGGUGAUCAUAUGUAUCAUCCAUCCAGGACUGAGCAGUUUACAUUCCUUUGACACUCCAGAGCAUCCUGGUUCAGACAAAAGUUGUGUGGUCCCCUAGCUACAGGGGAACCAGUUUGGGAGUAUGCAAAAAAAAAAAAAAAAAAGCCAUUUCAGGCUGGGCAUGGUGGGUCACGCCUGUAAUCCCAGCACUUAGGGAGGACGAGGUGGGCGGAUCAUGAGGUCAGGAGUUCGAGACCAGCCUGGCCAACAUGGUGAAACCCCAUCUCUGCAAAAAAAUACAAAAAUUAGCUGGGGGUGUUGGCACUUGCCUGUAAUCCUAGCUACUCAGAAGGCUAAGACAGGAGUAUCGCUUGAACCAGGGAGGCAGAGAUUGCAGUGAGCUGAGAAUGCACCACUGCACUCCAGCCUGGGCGAUAGAGGGAGACUUUGUCUCAAAGAAAAAAAAAAAAAAAAAAAGGCCGUUUUACACAGGCAGCCCUCUCAGUAGCACUUCUGCCAUCAGAGAGAGAAAGAAAUGACCAUGGCCACAGGACAGUUUGCCCACAGUCCCUUGCCAAAGAACUCCUCUUAACUCAUGUCAAGAUAAGAGCCUUGGAAAUUUGGAGAACUGCCUAUCAGAGGCAUGGAAAGACAUGCAGCAGUCUCACACAGAAUGGAAAACUGUGAUUUGGAGCAGUCAUCUGGGCUCCAUCCACAACUCCAAAAAUGUUAGUCACCCACCCAGUGAGCACCACCAAGACAUUGGCCAAGGCAGGGACAGGAGCACAGUGAGGGAGUGCCAGUGUCCCUGGAAGAGACCUCAACUCUGUCUGUGCCACUUCCAGGGGAGGGACCUCGGCAAAGCCAAGCAUCGGAACUGGGAGAAGCUGAUGGACACCAUAGUUGCCGAACUGGGUCUGGGAGCCUCCAAGGGGAAGCAUCAGGGGCUGCAGUAGACUUGGCUGCUUCUUUGAUUCUGGGGAAUCUACAUAUAAAUUGGUUUGCAAUGAGGUUCUCCAGAUUUUUAGAAGAACUUUGACAAUCCCUGGAUUAAGGCAUCUUGCAAGAGGACAGGGAAGGACUUAGCAGAUGAAUGAGGUUACGAGUGUAGGCUUUGGAUCCAGAAGGCCUGGGGGUUCAAAUCUCAGCCUGUGUGGCCCUGGACAAGUGGCUGCACUUUUCAGGGCUUCAGUUUCCUCAUCUGUAAAACGCAGGUAACAACAGAACCAACCUUUUACGGUCGUCCUGUGGGUUCAGUGCGUUAUUUCAAACGAAGUGCUUAAAAUGGAGCUUGACACACAGAAGCACUCCCUGUAAGCUGCCAUUCAGAUUUCUAAGUCAGGUCUAGGUAUCUUGUGAAAGGUGGAAAUGUCCACCUACGAGGUGCUUAAACCAGUGCUCACUAUUACGAGCAAGUUCUGACUGUCCUCAGAAGUCACCCCACAAAACCACUGACCCAGAAACCUGUCAGUAGGCAGUGAAUUUUUCUUCCAAGGUGAAAAAGGGAAGUGGUAACUAAACCCUAGCACACCCAGGUACCUUUGCUCUAAAAACGUAUUGUCUUCAAUUCAGGAUGUGGCCAUUGCAUACAGCACCGGACUACGCAAUAGCAUGAGAAUUUGAACUGGAAACAACACACCGUCUUGUGUAUCGAAAAUAGCCUGCGCCCUUUAGUAGCUGUGUGACUCGGAAAGUCUCAUUCACCUCAUCUUUAAAGUGGGAAUAAUCAUAGUCCUCACCACAGGGAGUAAUGAAGAUUUGGUUGAAAGCAAUUAGCAGACUGCUUGCCACCUAGCAAGACAUCAAUAACGAGCAAGCACGAAGCCGCCUUCCUAAAAAGGGACGUAACACAAGAGGUCAAAGCCAGCCCAGAAUGACAGACAAAGCGGAGGGGUCAGACUCGGCCAGCACCUGAGUCUCAUCACCAAGAAGGGACAAGUCAAGCCCACCCGCCAAGCAGCCCAGCCUCUGCCCAGCCUUACCAGCC